CUUCGGUCGCAGAUGGCUCCCUCUCGGCCACAGUUUUACUCCCUCUCCGUCGCAUGUCACUUUCCCUAGUCAGAAACACCAAGGCGUCGCGUAGAGCUAGGGCUUCUGCGACUCCAACCGAGGCGUCUCUUGUCUGCUUCGCGAAAACGGCCACAAUCAGGUUCCUGCGGUUGAAGUUUCCGGGGAGCUGUCGACCCACUGUCCGUCCACAAUCAGUACUUGGAAGAAAAAGAAACAUACUCCGACCUCGGAGCAAAAUCCUCUCUCAUGUCUUCAAAGCGUAAAGUUCUUGUCAAGGAGAAGCUGCCGGCGUCUAAAUCGGACAAUCAGCGAAAGAAUAAUGAGGAAAGUCCCUCGCAGCCCAAGCCUGCCCCUCCUCGACCGCAAAAAUCUCAGCAAGGGUCUUCGUCGGCACGAUCUGGGUACGAACAUGAGAAGAAGGCCCCGUCUUUGAAGAAGUCGAAAACAGUGCCAUCCACUUCCUUGAAACAAGUUGAAGUAGACAAGCUCGGACGUGCUGGAAAGGAGUCAAAGAAGCUGGCAUUCCAGAAGAUAUGGCGCGACGACGACGAGAUAACCCUUUUGCAGGGUAUAAUUGAUUACCGUGAGAAGGGCAUGGACCCCUUCUCAAAUGUUAGGGCAUUUUAUCAUGAUGUCAAAGGAUUACUUCGGGAAGGCUUAACGGUUAGUCAAUUGGCCAACAAGGUUUGGGUUUUUAAGAAGAAGUAUAGGAAUAAUAAGGGGAAGGGCAAGGUUGGAGAGGAUUGGGUGUUUUCGAAUUCUCAUGAGGGGAAAUUUUUUGAGUUGUCGAAAAAGAUUUGGGAUGUUGAGAUGCGAGGCAAUGCCACUAGCAGUAGAGAAGAAAUUGGUGUGACUAAGAAUAAGAAGACUGAUGGUGCCGGAAUGUUUGUCGCUUCUCCCCAGUCAAAGUCGGAGGCAUCAAAGUCAAAUGAUUUGCAGGAGCAUCUUGAUAACAUAUCGCAGAUGUGUAGGGUCGGCUUGGACGAGGGAUCUUUGAAUCAGGGGUUGGCAUUGUUGGAGCCCUCAAAGAGGGCGGAGUUGAAAGAAAGAUGGAGUAAAUUGUUCUUUGUUGAGAUGCAGAUGGUGGCGGAGAGAUGCGCACUGAUUGAAGAUCAGCUCAAGCUCAUUUUGGAGGCCUAUUCUCAUUCUACUGAGAAGUAGGUUGUGGGCUUCAGGUUUUUUGAUGGGUGGUAUAGCAUUCUAACAAUGCUGUUUUGUGCACCAUGGUUCUAAUGACUAUUUUUGCUCAUUUUGUAUAUCUUUUUCAGGCUCCAGGCAUUUUGAUGGGUGGCGUAGUGUUCUAACAAUGCCUUCAGAUAAUUGAGCAAAGCAAAGUUUCCAGAUCCUUUCCGUGAAGCCAGACCAGAGCAUGUCAAUUAUUAGGUAGCAGCCACAAAAUAGUUAGGAUAUUUCUAAAAUUUUCUGGAAUGGUGAUUCAAUUUUCAUUUUCAGACUGUUUGGUUACCUGAUUUGAAAUUAUCUGUAUGCUAUCAAGGAGCGUAUGUCUUGGCUGAGGGAGAUUUUAGAUUAUUUUACUUAUAUGGAUAGCAAGGUUGCAUCUUGUCUCGUUGCUUCACGGUGGCCACUGAUCAAAACCAGUAGACAUAUUCUGGUAUGUGAUGCUUCCAUGUUUCUCGUUUGAAAAUAGCAUGCUAUUUUUGUCCUGAGAAAGCAGGAGAGAUUUUUCAUGAAAUUUUGUUUGAAGAUCGUUUUCUGAGAAAGGAAAGAUGUGUCAUAAAGCUGAUGCGUUCAGCUGCAUUGAUGGACCUGUCUGCCAAGAGCUGAUUGGUUUGCUCUAGAGAUGCUUUUAUCAGCAGGUGUUUGCUUUUGAAAUAAUCCUCCUUGGUUUUUUGAGAGAUAUCUACUUUCUUUUCCGGUUCAUUUGUCCUUGACUGCACUUUUAACUAAAGUUGGAUUGCAGUGUUGAGGCAGAAGUAAAAAGAGUCAUGUACUUUGGACUUGUAAAGUCCCCACUGGACCGAUCAAUUGCUAGGCCGGUCCUUGAUUUUCUCUUGCGUCAUUGCCUACGUUUUCAUUAAGAGGUACCGGUGUUUAAUUUUUCUCAGAACGUGAAAUUUUCUUAAAUUAUUAUGGGCCUGAGUAUAGUGCUGAAAGUCUCAGAGUCAAACCUAUUGAAUUGACCUCCUUUAUUAAGUUUCAUGAUUCUUUUCAAUCUUUAGCCUGCAUGAUCUAUUGAAAAUGCGCUAAUGCAUGUCCUUGCUAGAAGUAGCUUUUGGUUUGCACGAAUUUAUAAGUUGCUUGAGGAAAUUUUCUAGGAGAUUAGCAAUAUAUAUUAUUUGGAACAUAUAUGUUAAGUCUCCAAUUCAGUCAAUUACCUUCUGGGUUCUCUGUCAACAACAGAAGGAGACAAACUUGCAGAUUAUUUCACGGUAGUGCUUCCAUCCUGCUUUUGCUUCUUCUUCGCAACAACUAGUGGCGUUUCCAUGACAACAUCUGGGAUUUUUGUCCACGAGUCCUUUGCAGAAGACUUUUUCUUAGUGGAGAAAAUACAAAGAAAUCUUCACCAUCGGGUUCUAAUGACUGGGUCUCAGGAUUCUGAUGUGGCAAAGCCAUCGUCCUUCCUUUUCUUCUUUUUGAACUUCUUGCAAUUCUCUCCGCUUGGAACUUGCUCAACUUUGACAGCAGAACUCCUAUUCAUCACAGAUAAGCAGAUCCCAGGCAAAGUUGAAUUUUUCCUUGUUGCAAUUAUUGUUUAACCACUUUCAUUAG
This is an RNA transcript of Eucalyptus grandis, 2751 nucleotides long. It is a transcript of the gene named GLABROUS1 enhancer-binding protein-like, with no coding region annotated. The record is from RefSeq and is a predicted model, not a curated record. NCBI's taxonomy places the organism in Eukaryota, Viridiplantae, Streptophyta, Magnoliopsida, Myrtales, Myrtaceae. The transcript has 3 exons.